UCUCCAACUCCAACAGAGAAGAAUGACCACACAACACAAAGUUCUUCAGCUGGAUGUCCGCCUGGUAAAUGUGCCAAUGGCUGGAAAUCACAUGACAGACAGUGCUACUUCUUCUCUGAGAAGAAACUAACCUGGACUCAGAGUAGAGAUGAAUGUGUCCGUAUGAGGAGCCAUCUGGCAAUCAUACAUGAUGAAGAUGAGCAGAUAUUUUUGAUGACGGAAAUUAAAUCAAACAUGGAAACUCUUGACGACAAGUUCUGGAUUGGUCUGAAUGACAGAAAAAGAGAGGGCCAGUGGCUAUGGGUGGACAACACUACUCUCAAUACAUCAUUCUGGAUGAAAAACCAGCCUGAUGAUUUGAAGAGUUAUAUUAAUCCAGAUGGAGAGGACUGUGUACUGAUGGGAGAUAAAUACUUUGUAAUGAAUGAUGCAAAAGGCUGGUGGGACACAGCCUGUAAGACAGAGUGCAAAUUUAUUUGUGAAACUGAAACUUGUUAAUUAUCACAGUGCAUCAUACCUUUAUUGAUCACUGACUACUGAUGAUUGUCCAUUUGAAUUGCACCAAUCAGACUUUUUUAUUUCUGUUCUAUUGCCAAAUACCAAUUUUCACACAUUGCUAACUGAUAGAUCUCAUAGUCUAUCCAGUGUGUGUGUUUCCUUCCUGAGAAAUCAAAUAUUUACUAGAGAUGCACAGUGACGUCAUUAUCUGUAUCUGUAUCUUUUAAUACCACAACAUUAUCUGUAUCUGUAUUUCGGAUAGAAAAACGUUAACCAGGCACAUGCUGUAUUUUCUAACCUAAUAUUCUUUGGUAAUGCAAUUGGUGUGCUUUCAAUGCAUCAAAUUAAUCUAUUUUAUGUAUUUAGCAUAUCAUUUAUUGUGCAGCUAACGUUAGCGCUUCAUCUGUUAAUAUCGAAGGUAAAC
Molecule: long non-coding RNA, 922 nt
Organism: Clupea harengus (Atlantic herring)
Lineage: Eukaryota; Metazoa; Chordata; Actinopteri; Clupeiformes; Clupeidae
Gene: illr4
Exons: 4
Source: RefSeq, a predicted model, not a curated record